UUUCCGUGGGUGAACCUGCGGAAGGAUCAUUAUUGUAUAACCGAGGUGCGAGGGCUGUCGCUGACCCGAAAGGUCGUGCACGCCCGAGUGCCCUCACACACAUCCAUCUCACCCCUAUGUGCACCACCGCGUGGGUCCCCCUUUGGCUUGUUCGGAGGGGGGCUUACGUUUUCACACAAACUUUGUAUGCAGUGUAGAAUGUAUUUUUGUUUUUGCGAUCACGCAAUCAAUACAACUUUCAACAACGGAUCUCUUGGCUCUC
Molecule: unclassified non-coding RNA, 262 nt
Filed under: plant metagenome
Description: partial contains small subunit ribosomal RNA, internal transcribed spacer 1, and 5.8S ribosomal RNA
Source: RNAcentral